AAUUCUUCUAAGCGAAGAACCUUACCAAGGCUUGACCUGCUGCAAAUCCUCUUGAUAGAGAGGGGUGCCUUCGGGAACGUAGACACAAGUGGCACAUGGCUAUCGUCAACUCGUCUCGUAACGUGUUGGUUAAGCCCCACCAUGAGCAUAACCCUCGUGUUUAGUUGCCACCAUUGAGUUUGGAACCUUGAACAGACUGUCGGCGAUAAGCCGGAGGAAGGUGAGGAUGACGUCAAGUCAUCAUGCCCCUUAUGCCCUGAGUG
This 263-nucleotide non-coding RNA is filed under the name Amborella trichopoda. Its description in RNAcentral is "Bacterial small subunit ribosomal RNA". It matches the Rfam family "Bacterial small subunit ribosomal RNA", at positions 948 to 1215 of the family's 1533-position model. The record is from Rfam by way of RNAcentral. Lineage: Eukaryota; Viridiplantae; Streptophyta; Magnoliopsida; Amborellales; Amborellaceae.